Long non-coding RNA from Bombus terrestris (buff-tailed bumblebee), 1909 nucleotides. RefSeq lists it as uncharacterized. Lineage: Eukaryota; Metazoa; Arthropoda; Insecta; Hymenoptera; Apidae. The record is from RefSeq and is a predicted model, not a curated record. The transcript is spliced from 5 exons.
UCGCGACAAAUAUUCCCUUUUCAAACGCCUAGAAAAAAAUAAGACCAAACUAACAAUAAGGGAAAAUAUGCAAAGGAAAAAGAAAUUUCAUAUAGACUGUAAUUUUCUCAAUGUGAACAGAUUACUUCUAUAGACAGGCGGCAAGAGGAAAAAAUAACAGUGGAAAUAAUAAAUCGUGGCGAGGUGUUGUCGGAUGAUUCCUCGAGUUUUCCGCACAGAUAUUCUUCAGUUAUCGAAGAGAGAUGGACGUGUUCUACAGGCAGUACAACACUUAUCGUAUACUACUGAGUGUCUUAGGACUCUGGCCAUAUCACAAGUCGAUUUACUCUACGAUUCACAGAAUAUCGAUCUCUUUAAUUAUGCUCAUCUAUAUAGUUUUCCAGGUUUUAUCGCUUUUUAAAUCUGGUAUUACAUUUCGAGGUUGCAUCGUAACAUUAUCUGCAAUCUGUCCAGUUAUGGUCAUUUUCAUGCGAUAUGUCACUUCUGUAGCAAUGUUUCCUGUGGUACGUGAUGCUCUAAAGUGAAGUUUAUGAAGUUCAACUAAUGAGAUUCGUAUAUAUUUUUACACAUGGGUACAGACUAUAUAUCUUUUUGACAACCUACGCACCAUAGACAUCAUGCUGAAAGAUCAACUGGAAGUUCAGAUACUGAUGAAAUACGUAGAUUAUUCGACUUAUAUAAUCUCCAUUUUCCUAUGCCUAUGUUGCUCGUGGUCUUUAUUCGGAGCGUUAUAUGUCUUCACUCCGAUAACGUUGGAUCUGCUAAUGCCUAUGAAUGAAUCUCGAAGACGUUAUUUUUCCUACUUAACAAUGUUUUCUCACGAUCGGAUAGAGUAUGUCGAUAUCGUAUACAUGAAUAUCCUAGUCGUUUAUGCAAUUGGAUCGUUGUGUCUGGCGGGUACGGAACUGAUGUUGGCUGUGUUUGCCCACUACAUGUGCGGAAUGUUCGAGAUAACUAGGUACGAAUGAAUAUGCUGACUUUUAUCUUUUUCACAUGGUCAUUGCGUGCAACAGACACAUUACAACACUUACAAGGUUACAAUGAUCAUGAUGGUCAGGUAAAUAUACGAUCAGCAAAACAUUCAAACAAUUCCAUUUAAACGGAGAAGGUGUUUCACAGCGGACCGUUAAUAUUGCUGUCAUAGAAUUUCAGUAAAUUUAUUCAAUUACGAUUUACCUAACUCUCAUUCUCAGACUUUCCUAUUUUGCUCGUAUGUGCUGUAUGUUUCAGAUGAAAUUGUUUGUAUGUAUUCAUAUGGCCACAAUCUAUUUUCACUAAACUCAGCUUUAAAAUCAAUCGACCGAAGAGAAAUGGUUACCUGUGUGAUCAGUUAAUUCUAAUAAAUAUAUCUCAAUACAGUCAUUAAUACGAUAAUUCGCAGGCUGUCAGCUAAUUAGGGUUAAUUCAGACGAUACAAAGUGAAAUUCUUUGUUAAAUCAUAUUUGUCUAAAAAUUUCCGCACGUUUUUAGCUAUCGAAUGCAAAAAACAAUUGCGGGUCUGUCUUCGUCGACGCAGAUCGACCCGAACUUCAAGGACUUCCGCUACGUCGUAGACAAUCAUAGGAAAACACUACAGUUGGUACAUUCGACUAUAAUGGGUAUUCGAUGGUAGAUAUUUAAGCUGAUCCUACUUUGUUUUCCAUGCAUUUUCUGCCGAUGUUUCUUGUGAAAUUCAUUCGCGUGACAAAGUUUCAUCAAUUACGUAUUAUCGAAUUAUCCGAUACAUUAUCUUCUGCCAUCUGCUGUAGCCGUGGUGUCUGUUUCUGUGAGUUUGCAUCGAGUUUCUAAAACGAUAACAGACUCGAAAGAUGAAAAAGAAAUCUUCAUCUGUAUCUUUUUUCUUAUUAGUCAUUUAGCAUUUUUGUACAUAUGUUGCUAUUCCGGACAAAUUAUAAUAGAUCGCAGUCUG